This 74-nucleotide transfer RNA is filed under the name Mortierella polycephala. It matches the Rfam family "tRNA". From Rfam's summary of the family: Transfer RNA (tRNA) molecules are approximately 80 nucleotides in length. Their secondary structure includes four short double-helical elements and three loops (D, anti-codon, and T loops). Further hydrogen bonds mediate the characteristic L-shaped molecular structure. tRNAs have two regions of fundamental functional importance: the anti-codon, which is responsible for specific mRNA codon recognition, and the 3' end, to which the tRNAs corresponding amino acid is attached (by aminoacyl-tRNA synthetases). tRNAs cope with the degeneracy of the genetic code in two manners: having more than one tRNA (with a specific anti-codon) for a particular amino acid; and 'wobble' base-pairing, i.e. permitting non-standard base-pairing at the 3rd anti-codon position. The record is from Rfam by way of RNAcentral. Lineage: Eukaryota; Fungi; Mortierellomycota; Mortierellomycetes; Mortierellales; Mortierellaceae. RNAcentral also lists the same sequence under 2 other names.
GCUUGCAUGGUGUAGUUGGUUAUCACAUGUCUCUCACUAAGACAAGGUCCCAGGUUCGAACCCUGGUGCAAGCA